This 1758-nucleotide ribosomal RNA is filed under the name Triticum aestivum (bread wheat). RNAcentral describes it as "partial small subunit ribosomal RNA". The record is from RNAcentral. Lineage: Eukaryota; Viridiplantae; Streptophyta; Magnoliopsida; Poales; Poaceae.
AUGCAGCAGCUAGCAGCAAGGCCCAUUGACGUCGCCGCACAGUCCAGUGCGGGCAGGAACCAUUUGAUGACUUCACAUGGAAUACAAUUGCAACUGUGUCAAGCUUGUGCAGAAGAGACCACCAAAGUAAUUAUUGAUGACAUUGGAGAUAGAAAUUUUUCUUUACUUAUUGAUGAGUCCAGAGAUGCAUCAAUAAAGGAGCAAAUGGCUAUGGUUUUAAGGUAUGUCCAUAAACAUGGGUAUGCGAUUGAGAGGUUCAUUGGGAUUAAGCAUGUUGGUGACACAAGGGCAACUUCUCUAAAAGCAUCUUUGGAUGGUGUGUUUCUUAAACAUGGCUUGUCUAUGUCUAAAUUGAGAGGGCAAGGGUACGAUGGAGCUUCUAACAUGAGAGGACAAUUUCUUGGGUUGCAAAGGUUGAUACUAGAUGAAAAUCCUUAUGCAUUUUAUAUUCAUUGCUUUGCCCAUCAGUUGCAGUUAGUGGUUGUUGAUGUUGCCAAGUGUUGUUCCUCUGUAUUGGAUUUCUUUAACCACAUAACUUUGAUUGUCAACACCGUCAAUGCUUCUUGUAAGGGACAUGAUGAACUAGCCCAAGAACAACAUGAUAAUAUUGUGAAUCAAUUGGAGUCUGGGGAAGUUUUUUCAGGAAGAGGGAAAAACCAAGCAACCAACCUUGUAAGACCUGGGGAUACACGGUGGGGCACACAUCAUAAAACUUUGUGUCGGUUUAUUGAGAUGUGGACAUCUUUUUUGCAUGUAUUAGAGAACAGUCAUGAUGAUGCAGAAAAUUUAACACAAAGAACCACAGCAGGUGGCUUGAUAUCUCAGAUGGAAAGUUUUGAAUUUGUUUUCAUGUUGCAUGUUAUAAUCACACUAUUGGGCAAGACUAAUGAGUUUUCACAAUGUUUGCAAAGGAAAGAUCAAAACAUAGUUCUAGCAGUGAGUUUGAUUGGGAUCACAUUGCGGCAACUUCAAAAUAUAAGAGAUAAUGGUUGGGAUCAGCUCUUGAAGGACACAACUGACUUUUGUGUCAAACAUAACAUUAUAUUGCCUAACAUGGAUGAUACAAUACCCGCUCGGGGUCAUUCAAGGGGGCGUGGUGGUCAAAUGUUAACUUUCUAUCAACGCUUCAGAUAUGAAAUAUUCAAUGUUUUGCUUGACCAAAUAAUUAUUGAGUUAAAUAACCGCUUUGCUGAAAGAUCUACUCAAUUGUUGAGAUGCAUUGCUUGUCUUGAUCCAAGGAGCUCAUUUGCUAAUUUUGAUGAAGACAAACUUAUUCAACUUGCUCAGAUGUAUGCUGAUGACUUCUCCAUAUAUGAGAUUUCUUUUGUCCUUAGAAACCAACUUGAAAACUUCAUUGCUGAUGUGAGAGCUGAUCCAAGUUUUGUUAGUUGUAAUGACCUUGGUAGUCUUGCUGUGAAGAUGGUUCAAACUGAUAGACACAUAGUCCUUCCUUUGGUAUAUCGUCUUAUUGAGUUGGCAUUGAUUUUGCCUGUUGCAACCGCAUCAGUGGAAAGAGCUUUCUCAGCUAUAAGUAUUAUCAAGACUGAGUUGAGGAAUAAGAUGGGUGAUGAUUGGUUGAAUUAUUCCAUGGUGUGCAAUAUUGAGCGAGAAAUAUUUGCAAAGGUUGAUGAUGAUGCUAUUAUAUAUCGCUUUCAAGACUAUAGAUUUCGCAAAGGAACUUUACCUCGUCGUAGUAGUGUUGGCUCUUCUUCCACCGUUGAUCAAGUUAUGGAAGACACUGAUGAAGCAAACAAUUGA